UACCAGCACCCCGAGUGGUCGGGACGAUUAUUGGGCCUAAAGCAUCCGUAGCCGGUCAUGCAAGUCCUCCGUUAAAUCCAGCCGCUCAACGGUUGGGCUGCGGAGGAUACUACGUGACUAGGAGGCGGGAGAGGCAAGCGGUACUCAGUGGGUAGGGGUAAAAUCCUUUGAUCCAUUGAAGACCACCAGUGGCGAAGGCGGCUUGCCAGAACGCGCUCGACGGUGAGGGAUGAAAGCUGGGGGAGCAAACCGG
RNAcentral lists this ribosomal RNA (253 nucleotides) under uncultured bacterium. Its description in RNAcentral is "partial 16S ribosomal RNA". It matches the Rfam family "Archaeal small subunit ribosomal RNA", at positions 474 to 727 of the family's 1478-position model. The record is from RNAcentral.